This 1077-nucleotide long non-coding RNA is filed under the name Triticum aestivum (bread wheat). RNAcentral describes it as "long non-coding RNA (TAES_LNC024524)". Lineage: Eukaryota; Viridiplantae; Streptophyta; Magnoliopsida; Poales; Poaceae. The record is from RNAcentral.
UGGAGUUCCGGCCGGAGCGGUGGCUGUCGGCCGACGGCACCAAGUUCGAGCCGCACGACUCGUACAGGUUCGUGGCGUUCAACGCCGGGCCGCGCAUAUGCCUGGGCAAGGACCUGGCGUACCUGCAGAUGAAGAACAUCGCCGGGAGCAUCCUCCUCCGGCACCGCCUGGCCGUGGCGCCGGGGCACCGCGUGGAGCAGAAGAUGUCGCUCACGCUGUUCAUGAAGCACGGGCUCCGGAUGGUGGUGCGCCCGCGCGACCUCGCCCCGACCCUCGACGAGCUCCCCGCCGCGGCACCCGCCGUCGCGGCCUGCGCGUAGAAGAUCGAUGUGUAUGGACCCCCGGCGCCGUGCAUGCAUGCUCCACGUACGGUUCGUGCCAUAUGGGGAAGGUCCGGAGGACGAAGUUGGAAGUGGCAAGAAAACUGUGUAGAUACACGAGUCCAACACACCAACAGGUACUACUUAGUAGGUGAGUAUAUCUACAUCGGGAUAAAGGGAUCUGUCUAAAAAUAUCCAAAUCAGAAAGAAAGGGAAACACACAGGGGCAACAAACAAUAAUGCUCCUCUCCUGUACUGUAAUGUACUGUACUGAACUACGUGUGACAGAUUAGAAGUGUAUAAGCUCCAAAUUCGUCUGGGCGGUUUGUGUUAAUGCGCCGCCGAUUGUUGUUGUUGUUGGCAGGGAGGUUGCGUGUGCAAAUGCGAGGUGAAACAUACAACUCGAUCGAGUGAUUAUUUUCUGGAUGGACCCGUUGGUCCGGGCUUAUUAAUUCUUCCCCGUUCUAUUUCUGGCGUCUUGAUUGCCGGUAGCUCGCUGCUCAUGGCGUUAUUGCACGAGGUGGAGAUGAGAUCAGUGUACAUCGCUGUUGUCCAUCUUAAGGUUGUUUGAGGCUCGUGCACGGGACCGAGAGAGCGAUUUGAUAGUGGGAGUUUCUUUGUUGAGGGAGUUCGAUACAUCAAACUCUGAUCCAGGACAGUGCAUCAAAGAGGCAAUACAAACUGAUAAAGAAUUUCGACGUGCCUUUUCAUUCUCAUUUGAUUAUUUGAUCAUUUUCCGGUCGCAAAUUUAUGUUCG